ACCAGGUACCAUGGGAGCAGAAACAAAGGCCUGAGUAUGCUCUAUUAGGGGAGGCAAUAGUGGAGUGACGAAAGGGGUCAAUUCAGCAUUUCAAGUGAAAGAAUGAUGCUUGGAGGACCAACAGAUGCUGAGCAUGAGAAGGGUAGGAAGAGGAGAAGAGAAGAGAAGAGAAGAGAAGAGAAGAGAAGAGAAGAGAAGAGAAGAGAAGAGAAGAGAAGAGAAGAGAAGAGAGAACAGGCACAAAGAUUCAAUGGCAGGGGCUCUAUGUAGGUCUGCCUUGCUUGAACAUAAUGGUAGUGAUGCUGCUGGGCAUGUGGGCAUGGGUCUGGUCAGAAAGUGUUUGAUAGGCCAUGUAGGAAGUUUCCAUUUUCUCAGGCAGGAGAUAGGAACCACUGUAGAAUGUUGAGCUUGAAAAUGAUCCAAGGAGAUCUUUGUGAUGGAACUAUCAUUCUGAGAGCUGAAUGGAGGGUGAAUUGCAAGUAGGUGAGAUUAAAGACACAAAGUCAAGGGAGUGGUGGUGAUAAUCUGCAAAAGAGAAGACAAAGGCCAGAACCAAGACAACACCAAUUGCAGAGGGAAGAGAGCAAGAAUGCUAAAAGACUUGGCAUGUAAAAGGGCAGCAUCUGGUUGGUGAUGGAGCAAAUGUGGGGAUUCCAAAGAGGACCCAUAAUAAGAUUACAAAGUGGAGCCACCAUGUCAGAGUGUUGGUUAAGAUCACCUGGACCUGGCAACCUCUUGGAGAAGAAAUUCAGGAGGGGGAAGUCAGUAAUUACUUUCAUCUUAAAUCUCACAUGAUAACUGCCAUCAAACAGUAAGUGAUGCUGGAUAUAUGUAUAUUAAUAAAGAAGUUUGUGAGAAUUUA
Molecule: long non-coding RNA, 862 nt
Organism: Felis catus (domestic cat)
Lineage: Eukaryota; Metazoa; Chordata; Mammalia; Carnivora; Felidae
Exons: 2
Source: RefSeq, a predicted model, not a curated record